RNAcentral lists this transfer RNA (71 nucleotides) under Blastopirellula sediminis. RNAcentral describes it as "tRNA-Ala". It matches the Rfam family "tRNA". Rfam says of the family: Transfer RNA (tRNA) molecules are approximately 80 nucleotides in length. Their secondary structure includes four short double-helical elements and three loops (D, anti-codon, and T loops). The record is from RNAcentral. Lineage: Bacteria; Pseudomonadati; Planctomycetota; Planctomycetia; Pirellulales; Pirellulaceae.
ACCGUUAGCUCAAUUGGUAGAGCACCAGACAAGCAAUCUGGAAGUAGCAAGUUCGAAUCUUGCACGGUUCA